Molecule: ribosomal RNA, 253 nt
Filed under: uncultured bacterium
Lineage: Bacteria
Description: partial 16S ribosomal RNA
Rfam family: Bacterial small subunit ribosomal RNA
Source: RNAcentral
UACAGAGGGGGCAAGCGUUGUUCGGAAUUACUGGGCGUAAAGGGCGCGUAGGCGGCCCGCUAAGUCGAACGUGAAAUCCCCGGGCUCAACCCGGGAACUGCGUCCGAUACUGGAAGGCUUGAAUCCGGGAGAGGGAUGCGGAAUUCCAGGUGUAGCGGUGAAAUGCGUAGAUAUCUGGAGGAACACCGAUGGCGAAGGCAGCCUUCUGGGCCAACACUGACGCUCAUGCACGAAAGCGUGGGGAGCAAACAGG